Molecule: ribosomal RNA, 466 nt
Filed under: uncultured bacterium
Lineage: Bacteria
Description: partial 16S ribosomal RNA
Rfam family: Bacterial small subunit ribosomal RNA
Source: RNAcentral
GAUGAACGCUGGCGGCGUGCUUAACACAUGCAAGUCGAACGAUGAGGCCCAGCUUGCUGGGUGGAUUAGUGGCGAACGGGUGAGUAACACGUGAGUAACCUGCCCUUAACUCUGGGAUAAGCCUGGGAAACUGGGUCUAAUACCGGAUAGGAGCGUCCACCGCAUGGUGGGUGUUGGAAAGAUUUAUCGGUUUUGGAUGGACUCGCGGCCUAUCAGCUUGUUGGUGAGGUAAUGGCUCACCAAGGCGACGACGGGUAGCCGGCCUGAGAGGAUGACCGGCCACACUGGGACUGAGACACGGCCCAGACUCCUACGGGAGGCAGCAGUGGGGAAUAUUGCACAAUGGGCGCAAGCCUGAUGCAGCGACGCCGCGUGAGGGAUGACGGCCUUCGGGUUGUAAACCUCUUUCAGUAGGGAAGAAGCGAAAGUGACGGUACCUGCAGAAGAAGCACCGGCUAACUACGUG